Thalassophryne amazonica is the source of this 149-nucleotide long non-coding RNA. RefSeq lists it as uncharacterized. Lineage: Eukaryota; Metazoa; Chordata; Actinopteri; Batrachoidiformes; Batrachoididae. The record is from RefSeq and is a predicted model, not a curated record. The transcript is spliced from 3 exons.
ACCCCCUUUUGCCUUCAGAACCGCUGUAAUUCUUCAUGUCAUAGAUUCAACAAGGUGUUGGCAACAGUCGUCAGAGAUGUUGGUUCAUACUGACAUGAUAGCAUCAGCCAGUCGCUCAUUCAACCAUUCUACCCAUUUUCCACUGACCU